AGUAACUCUAGAGCUAAUACAUGCAUCAAUCCCUGACUUCCUGGAAGGGGUGUACUUAUUAGAUGGAAACCAGUGCGGGUUCGCCCGGAUUAUGGUGAUUCAUAAUAAUUUUCGGAUCGAUCAAUUGAUCGAUGCAUCAUUCAAGUUUCUGCCCUAUCAGCUUUGGAUGGUAGGGUAUUGGCCUACCAUGGCAUUAACGGGUAACGGAGAAUUAGGGUUCGAUUCCGGAGAGGGCGCCUGAGAAACGGCGACCAGUUCCAAGGAAGGCAGCAGGCGCGUAAAUUACCCAAUCCUGACACAGGGAGGUAGUGACAAUAAAUAACAAUGUCGGGCCUUCGGGUUUGACAAUUGGAAUGAGAACAAUUUAAAUCCCUUAUCGAGGAUCAAUUGGAGGGCAAGUCUGGUGCCAGCAGCCGCGGUAAUUCCAGCUCCAAUAGCGUAUACCAAAGUUGUUGCAGUUAAAAAGCUCGUAGUUGAAUUUCUGGUUUCGGAGUGCGGUCUGCCCCGUGGGGUAAGUAUCAGCGCUCGGGAGCCAUCCUCGAGGAGAACAUGCCUGUGAUUGAGUUCAUGGGUAUGGGAGCCUCGUCUUUUACUGUGAGCAAACUAGAGUGUUCAAAGCAGGCUUACGCCGUUGAAUACAUUAGCAUGGAAUAAUGGAAUAGGACUUUGGUGCUAUUUCGUUGGUUAUGGGACCGAGGUAAUGAUUAAUAGGGACAGUUGGGGCCGUUCAUAUUU
RNAcentral lists this ribosomal RNA (735 nucleotides) under uncultured eukaryote. Its description in RNAcentral is "SSU rRNA". It matches the Rfam family "Eukaryotic small subunit ribosomal RNA", at positions 151 to 899 of the family's 1831-position model. The record is from RNAcentral.